RNAcentral lists this ribosomal RNA (513 nucleotides) under uncultured bacterium. Its description in RNAcentral is "partial 16S ribosomal RNA". It matches the Rfam family "Bacterial small subunit ribosomal RNA", at positions 28 to 523 of the family's 1533-position model. The record is from RNAcentral.
GACGAACGCUGGCGGCGUGCCUAAUACAUGCAAGUAGAACGCUGAAGAGAGGAGCUUGCUCUUCUUGGAUGAGUUGCGAACGGGUGAGUAACGCGUAGGUAACCUGCCUUGUAGCGGGGGAUAACUAUUGGAAACGAUAGCUAAUACCGCAUAACAAUGGAUGACACAUGUCAUUUAUUUGAAAGGGGCAAUUGCUCCACUACAAGAUGGACCUGCGUUGUAUUAGCUAGUAGGUGAGGUAACGGCUCACCUAGGCGACGAUACAUAGCCGACCUGAGAGGGUGCUCGGCCACACUGGGACUGAGACACGGCCCAGACUCCUACGGGAGGCAGCAGUAGGGAAUCUUCGGCAAUGGGGGCAACCCUGACCGAGCAACGCCGCGUGAGUGAAGAAGGUUUUCGGAUCGUAAAGCUCUGUUGUAAGUCAAGAACGAGUGUGAGAGUGGAAAGCUCACACUGUGACGGUAGCUUACCAGAAAGGGACGGCUAACUACGUGCCAGCCGCCGCGGUAA